UACGGGAGGCAGCAGUGAGGAAUUUUGCGCAAUGGGGGAAACCCUGACGCAGCAACGCCGCGUGAGUGAAGAAGGCCCUUGGGUCGUAAAGCUCUGUCGACAGGGAAGAAAUUAUCAUCAUCCAAUAGGUGUUGAUAUUGACGGUACCUGUAGAGGAAGCACCGGCUAACUCCGUGCCAGCAGCCGCGGUAA
Molecule: ribosomal RNA, 192 nt
Filed under: uncultured bacterium
Lineage: Bacteria
Description: partial 16S ribosomal RNA
Rfam family: Bacterial small subunit ribosomal RNA
Source: RNAcentral